CAUAGCGAACAAGUCUUUCGUCUUUUACUAAAGACUUCGGUG
Molecule: small nuclear RNA, 42 nt
Filed under: Mola mola (ocean sunfish)
Lineage: Eukaryota; Metazoa; Chordata; Actinopteri; Tetraodontiformes; Molidae
Description: U5 spliceosomal RNA (ENSMMOG00000007994.1)
Source: RNAcentral